UUAACAGAACAAAUUUCAAUACAUUUCUUUGCUUUUGGGAGUAAAAAAUAGACGGAGCUUUUCAAACUCCAGAAAAGUUCAAUAUUUCCUUAGGUAUGCCGUUUUGUCUCAGUCUCCCCUAUAUCUAAUAACGUAUGUAGCGAAACAUCAUUUCGCGUUCCAUUUAAACGUUAAGUACGAAGAAUGAUUACGAGAGGGCGCGUGGCAACAGUGAAUCCUGCUUGUUAUUCCGCUUAUUCCACUUAGUUCAAUUGGGAAACUUGUAAACGGGUAGUUUGAUAACAAAUUUUGAAAAUUUUCGAAAACAAUUGGAAACGCUAUCGCUCCGGUAAAGUCUCUCUGGCAGCGACUCGUCAUAACAUAACAAAUGUACUUGUCCCAGAGUUGCUGCUGCGACUUUAGAUAUAUUUAUCAUUAGAAUGGUACAGAUGUUCAAAAACAUGAGGCGUUUUGAUGUUUCAAAUGUGACGUAGCCAUAAAUUUUUUUCUGUUUCGAUUGAAACAUUAGGUGGAAAAAGUGGACUAGUGGACAUCGGAACAUGUCACAUUUUGACUGCUAAAUCCAUACAGCCCUUCACCUUUUGCUUAUCCGAACCAUUUCGUAACAGGAGCUACUACGGUUUCAAGCCCCCUUCCUCUCCAUCACAAUGUCAUUCUCCCUCGAAUUCUGAGUGUACACGUAUAAAGAAGGGGUUGUAGAAGAGGGCGGUUUAUUCAACAUUGUAAAGAGGAGUUCGCUGGAACCGCUGGAACGGAUGACUAGAAUUUGUUAAAAGAGGUGAGAAGUUGCGAGAGCGAGAACGCGAGCUAGAGAGGAGGCUUGAUCCAGUGAACUGUGUCGAGGGAAUAGAAUUAGAGAGCUCUAUCAGGACGGCUCGAGUCCGUAUCCUGGCGAAAUAAUACGCGUACCGAUAGAUUUUCAAAGGUGUCGUCCACCGCUCUGGUACUAAAUAAAAGAGGGAGAGUUUUGUCAAAGGGGAGAAACGGCGUUGGAUUACGAGCUUUAAAACGAUGCAUCUUUUCCUCGAGUUUUAUUUAUUCUCUCCUUUUCCCCUAGGCUCGUACCUGCGCUCUAAAAAAUUUGAUUUCUCUCUCUCCCUCUCUCUCUCUCUCGCUUAUCUGUUCCCAUCUCGUUGUGUGUGUAUUAGGAGCCUCGAGUACGUACCUCGUGUGAGCGCGUUUUCUAAAUAUAAGCGUGUGACGAACUUUGGGUGCGAAUUCUCGUUUCGUUUGACGAUUCUCCUUCUAAAACCUCCUCGAAGAACGUACGAAUUUCAUAGCCUCCCUAGAGGUGAAUACGCUGCGGUACGGCCCUAAGAGAAAGGAGUAGAACAGAGAGAGAGAGAGAGAGAGAGAGAGAGAAAUAUUCUCUACGCUUCUCACUUUUUACACAUUGACGUUUCAUAACCUCGUUAAAUUCUUGGCAUUUUUACCGGAAGAACUGAAGAGCGGAGAUAAGUGAACGAAUAUUAGAAUGAAGAAGAAAAUAAACGUGGAAAAAAAUACUGUAAAGCUCAACACCGAUAUUCACAGAUAAUUUAUUCUCGGCAUAGUAAGUUCUUCGUAUCGGAUUACGGUGCGCUAUUCCUGCUUAGCCAUCUCUCUUUUCCUUUUUCGAGAGAGAGAGGGAGAAGGAGAGGUAUUGCUUCUGAUUUUAGUGCUCCCUACUGGAAACGAGCAGUACAUACGCACCGAAAUACUCUUUUCUGCGAACAAAAUAUCUCAUUGUGAGAAUGUUUUAUAUUCUUGGAUUUUCUUGUACUAUAGAAAAUCUAUGUUCGAUGAUGAAUAUAUUUGUUUAAUAUGAAUUUGAAGCUCGCACAGGAAAGUGAGAAUAGGACUAAUUUCGUGAACGGAGCUACAACGUUUAUAAAUAGAAGUGAGUGCGGACGCACAAGUAGGCAAAUGCCUUGAAAAUAUAUCUACGGUCAAAAUACUUCUUGUGAUCUCGCCUCAUUCAUCGUGUGAUCAUUGUUAGGGAUGUUCGACUCAUCUCGCUGAAGUGAUGCUAUAGCUCGAUGAAAGAUUCUUUUUGUUUCCUUCCUGCGUUCAUCAUUAUUUUUCCUUUCAUCGUAUCUAACAAACAGUCGCUGUGAUCCACGCGUUUAUUUCCGACCAUGUCGCACCCACUUGGCUAACGGAAUUAAUGUUCAAGAUAUUUGACCAUUUCAAUGGAGCUGCAUAGAGUGAUCAAUGUAUCGUAAAACAUGCAUGCAAAUUGUAUCACUAUAUGCGGAGAAAAUUUGGGAAAAGAGUUGAUUGAAAUUUAGUAGAAGUUGCUGGGCGUUUGAAAAAUGUUCAUUUCCGAUUGUAGAGAUUUUGAUUAAAAAAUAGAUCGCAUGUACGUGAGCCAACUUUUCACCAAUUUAUAUUUUGUGUUGGUUGUUGUUAUUCGUUGAUUACAAAAUGACAGAAUGCAUUUUGUUUCUCCAUAACACAAGUGUAAUAGGCAGUUCCGACGUUGUCGAAGACGCUUCGUGUUUCAAGCCCAAAGAGAAAUGCGAGGAGUGUCGAACCGAAGCGAGUGACGAAGGAGAUGAAGAUGAAGCGGAGGUUUCGGGACGAAUAGGAACGAACGGAGAAUGCCACUCAAAUUACAAAACCGAAAGGAAAAUGGCGUGUACACGGAAGAUAUAGCAAGUUCUAAUUGAGCACUUGGAGGUUCUCAGGAUAAUAAAUAUAUCAAGAUGUAAAGACGCAUCGUCGAGACAAGAAAUGUUCCAAGUUGGCCAAAACUGAUCUCGUCUUACGUAAGGCCUCAGCUUCCGUGCAAAACGAGGGAAGAGGCUGUGACUUUGCCAACCGAGAACAAAGUUCGAAUUUCAAGGUGUACGAGGAGACUACUUGGCAUCAAGACGCCGCAGCGUCUCUAGAUAUUGAGAAAACCAUACCGAACGAUUUAAUCACAAAAAAUAAAGCAUGAGGUGGCUGGUGGCUAUUUCGUACUCCGUACUAACGAGACCAUAUUGAACCAAAAUAUCUUUUUGAUUAUGCCGAUUGACGAUUCGGAUAAUCGCAUUUAUACACAACCGGAAACGGGAUAUAUAUUCGGCAUCGAUAGGAUACGAAACCGCGAGUACUUCGAUGACCGCGUUUUCAUCUCUAACGAGAUACUCUUCCCGCUCCCUCUCUCCGGUGCUCGCGGAUUCUCGGGUUUCUCAAUUAUACUUGUGCUCGCAGGAACACAAGGACGAACGAGAUAUCAAUUUACUGUCCGAAGCAGAGUCGCUGUUGUCGAGUACCCGGGGGCUUCCGGGUCCAGUCUGUAAGGACGAAGAGCGUGAGGACGGGCGAUGUCCUCCUCCGAGGCUGCCGUUAUCUUUGGUCGAGCCGAGGGAUC
This 3340-nucleotide long non-coding RNA is filed under the name Venturia canescens. Its description in RNAcentral is "uncharacterized LOC122413014". Lineage: Eukaryota; Metazoa; Arthropoda; Insecta; Hymenoptera; Ichneumonidae. The record is from RNAcentral.